CACAACUUUGUUUACUUAAACAAUUAAUUUGGAUAAUAUUUUCGGAUAAGAUUUUUAGGUUCCUACGUGUCAAUACUAUUCAUAUCGGAUAAGAUUUUCGGUUUCAAAUUUCAUAUAAAUUUCAGAUACAUUUCGAAAUUCAAAUUUCAGAUAAAUUUUAAAAUUUAAAUUUCAUUUGAAUUUCAAAUUUCAGAUAAGAUUUUCACCAUCUAAGAUUGCGCCACAUGUCAUAUCUAUCUGUUUAAAUUUUUCUAUAAAAUCAGAGGCUCAACUCAUACCUCCCACACCAGAUCUUCUCUACAUUUCC
RNAcentral lists this long non-coding RNA (307 nucleotides) under Prunus persica (peach). RNAcentral describes it as "long non-coding RNA (PPER_LNC003541)". The record is from RNAcentral. Lineage: Eukaryota; Viridiplantae; Streptophyta; Magnoliopsida; Rosales; Rosaceae.